This 468-nucleotide ribosomal RNA is filed under the name uncultured bacterium. RNAcentral's name for it is "partial 16S ribosomal RNA". It matches the Rfam family "Bacterial small subunit ribosomal RNA", at positions 28 to 507 of the family's 1533-position model. The record is from RNAcentral.
GACGAACGCUGGCGGCGUGCUUAACACAUGCAAGUCGAACGGAAAGGCCCUGCUUUUGUGGGGUGCUCGAGUGGCGAACGGGUGAGUAACACGUGAGUAACCUGCCCUUGACUUUGGGAUGACUUCAGGAAACUGGGGCUAAUACCGGAUAGGAGCUCCUGCUGCAUGGUGGGGGUUGGAAAGUUUCGGCGGUUGGGGAUGGACUCGCGGCUUAUCAGCUUGUUGGUGGGGUAGUGGCUUACCAAGGCUUUGACGGGUAGCCGGCCUGAGAGGGUGACCGGCCACAUUGGGACUGAGAUACGGCCCAGACCCCUACGGGAGGCAGCAGUGGGGAAUAUUGCACAAUGGGCGGAAGCCUGAUGCAGCAACGCCGCGUGCGGGAUGACGGCCUUCGGGUUGUAAACCGCUUUCGCCUGUGACGAAGCGUGAGUGACGGUAAUGGGUAAAGAAGCACCGGCUAACUACGUG